GAUAUGCUCAGGAUGAACGCUAGCGACAGGCCUAACACAUGCAAGUCGAGGGGCAGCGGAGAGGUAGCAAUACCUUUGCCGGCGACCGGCGCACGGGUGAGUAACACGUAUGCAAUCCACCUGUAACAGGGGGAUAACCCGGAGAAAUCCGGACUAAUACCCCACAAUAUGGGCGUUCCGCAUGGAGAGCUCAUUAAGGAGAGCAAUUUUGGUUACAGACGAGCAUGCGCUCCAUUAG
RNAcentral lists this ribosomal RNA (238 nucleotides) under uncultured bacterium. RNAcentral describes it as "partial 16S ribosomal RNA". It matches the Rfam family "Bacterial small subunit ribosomal RNA", at positions 15 to 244 of the family's 1533-position model. The record is from RNAcentral.